UCUCUUUGCAGCUUCCUCUUCAUCGCUGUCAUCUUCGUAUUUCCUGCCAAAUGAAAACAUUUUUACUGAAUGACCCGUUUCAAAUGCAACACCGAGCUGACACGGUAAACCCCAGACGUCUGCGGACUGUGCGGGCGGGUCAGCGUCGCUCAAAGUCUAACAGGAAGUCAGAACCGAAGGAGCAUCAGACUUUGAAUGCCCAUAAGCAACUACUUUGUACAACUACAGGACACCUAGCCAUACAGGUAAUAUUACAAAAAACUGUUCACAUCAUUUGUAAUAAAAAAUAAAUAAAUAUCAAUCUACAUCCAUGAGUUAAUAAGGAGUUGAAAAACAACCUUUUUGUUUUUUCAAGAGCAUGGCACAUUCUGACUGCUAAUCUGGACCCCCACCCCCAGCUGACACAACGUGCCACAACAUGAGAUGGAUGUGGAGAAGUGAAGAUGAUCAAAGAGUAUGACGUAUCUUAUGAUCAUCAUGACCAUAUUUCAAUGAUUGACUAGCCUUGUAAUAUGGUUUUUACUUGUGAUAUUUUAUUGAAGGUAAAAUAUUCUUUACACGUGAUUUUUUUUUAAAGAGAAAAUAGGUGCAUAUUUUUUCUAUUAGGUUUUUAACUGAUUUCUUAUAUGCAUUUUAUUCUCUUACCAUUUUUGAAUUAUCUUUAGCUGUUGAUGAAUUAUUACUGUUAUUUUAGGAGCAUAAUUUUAUUUCAGUUAUACCUUUUUUCCCCCCUGAUUUGAUCCCUCAUUUUUUUUUUUGGCUCCAGCGUUUUUCCUCCCAUCGGGACCUUUCACACUGGGAAUAGUUCUGGUUUACCAUCACAGUUGCUGUCCCAUUGACAGCUCCAGCCUGGUGACUGGAGGG
Oryzias latipes (Japanese medaka) is the source of this 864-nucleotide non-coding RNA. NCBI's taxonomy places the organism in Eukaryota, Metazoa, Chordata, Actinopteri, Beloniformes, Adrianichthyidae. The record is from RefSeq and is a predicted model, not a curated record.